Arachis ipaensis is the source of this 319-nucleotide non-coding RNA. Lineage: Eukaryota; Viridiplantae; Streptophyta; Magnoliopsida; Fabales; Fabaceae. The record is from RefSeq and is a predicted model, not a curated record.
UUGUUCUCGUUGCUACAAAUAGGCCCUUUGAUCUUGAUGAGGCUGUUAUUAGGAGGCUACAAAGAAGAAAAUAAACCGGGUAUAUUUGAUGCUAUUCUUCGUGGACGCAUUGAUUUCUCAUCGGAUCCUUGGCCUUCUAUAUCAAGCAGUGCCAUAGAUCUGGUCAAGAUGUUACAUACUGAUGCUAAGGAAUGGCUUUCAGUAGUUGAAGUCCUUAGUAAGUUAGUAAAUUUGUAUUAUGUCAAAAGUGGUUUAUAUUUUAUAUGUAAUUGUAUUGCACUAUUGUUUAUAAAAACCAACUGGUUGUGUGUUAUCUACU